AUAAUCCAGCAUUAAAAAAGCAAA
This 24-nucleotide small nuclear RNA is filed under the name Arabidopsis thaliana (thale cress). RNAcentral's name for it is "snRNA_15493". Lineage: Eukaryota; Viridiplantae; Streptophyta; Magnoliopsida; Brassicales; Brassicaceae. The record is from RNAcentral.